ACUGAACGCUGGCGGCAGGCUUAACACAUGCAAGUCGAGCGGAGUGAUGGUGCUUGCACUAUCACUUAGCGGCGGACGGGUGAGUAAUGCUUAGGAAUCUGCCUAUUAGUGGGGGACAACAUCUCGAAAGGGAUGCUAAUACCGCAUACGUCCUACGGGAGAAAGCAGGGGAUCACUUGUGACCUUGCGCUAAUAGAUGAGCCUAAGUCGGAUUAGCUAGUUGGUGGGGUAAAGGCCUACCAAGGCGACGAUCUGUAGCGGGUCUGAGAGGAUGAUCCGCCACACUGGGACUGAGACACGGCCCAGACUCCUACGGGAGGCAGCAGUGGGGAAUAUUGGACAAUGGGGGGAACCCUGAUCCAGCCAUGCCGCGUGUGUGAAGAAGGCCUUAUGGUUGUAAAGCACUUUAAGCGAGGAGGAGGCUUACCUAGUUAAUACCUGGGAUAAGUGGACGUUACUCGCAGAAUAAGCACCGGCUAACUCUGUGCCAGCCGCCGCGGUAA
RNAcentral lists this ribosomal RNA (503 nucleotides) under uncultured bacterium. Its description in RNAcentral is "partial 16S ribosomal RNA". It matches the Rfam family "Bacterial small subunit ribosomal RNA", at positions 30 to 523 of the family's 1533-position model. The record is from RNAcentral.